AGUCACUGACAUUAGAUACCCGUGUAGUCCCAGCCGUAAACUAUGCUCGCUAGGUGUCAGGCAUGGCGCGACCGUGUCUGGUGCCGCAGGGAAGCCGUGAAGCGAGCCACCUGGGAAGUACGGCCGCAAAGGCUAGAAACUUAAAGGAAUUGGCGGGGGAGCACAACAACGGGUGGAGCCUGCGGUUUAAUUGGACUCAACGCCGGACAACUCACCGGGGACGACAGCAAUAUGUAGGCCAGGCUGAAGACCUUGCCUGAAUCGCUG
Molecule: ribosomal RNA, 267 nt
Filed under: uncultured archaeon
Lineage: Archaea
Description: partial 16S ribosomal RNA
Rfam family: Archaeal small subunit ribosomal RNA
Source: RNAcentral